This 235-nucleotide ribosomal RNA is filed under the name uncultured bacterium. RNAcentral describes it as "partial 16S ribosomal RNA". It matches the Rfam family "Bacterial small subunit ribosomal RNA", at positions 99 to 334 of the family's 1533-position model. The record is from RNAcentral.
CGGACGGGUGAGUAACGCGUGGGUAACCUGCCUCAUACAGGGGGAUAACAGUUAGAAAUGGCUGCUAAUACCGCAUAAGCGCACGGUACUGCAUGGUACAGUGUGAAAAACUCCGGUGGUAUGAGAUGGACCCGCGUCUGAUUAGGUAGUUGGUGGGGUAACGGCCUACCAAGCCGACGAUCAGUAGCCGACCUGAGAGGGUGACCGGCCACAUUGGGACUGAGACACGGCCCAG